Molecule: ribosomal RNA, 494 nt
Filed under: uncultured bacterium
Lineage: Bacteria
Description: bacterial SSU rRNA
Rfam family: Bacterial small subunit ribosomal RNA
Source: RNAcentral
UGGGGAAUUUUGCGCAAUGGGGGAAACCCUGACGCAGCAACGCCGCGUGGAGGAUGAAAUAUCUUGGUAUGUAAACUCCUUUCGAUGGGGAAGAUUAUGACGGUACCCAUAGAAGAAGCCCCGGCUAACUUCGUGCCAGCAGCCGCGGUAAUACGAGGGGGGCAAGCGUUGUUCGGAUUUAUUGGGCGUAAAGGGUGCGUAGGCGGUUUGGCAAGUCUUAUGUGAAAUCUUCGGGCUCAACCCGAAGCCUGCAUAAGAAACUGCCGGGCUUGAGUAUGGGAGAGGUGAGUGGAAUUUCCGGUGUAGCGGUGAAAUGCGUAGAUAUCGGAAGGAACACCUGUGGCGAAAGCGGCUCACUGGACCAUAACUGACGCUGAUGCACAAAAGCUAGGGGAGCAAACAGGAUUAGAUACCCUGGUAGUCCUAGCCCUAAACGAUGAUUGCUUGGUGUGGCAGGUACCCAAUCCUGCCGUGCCGAAGCUAACGCGAUAAGC